UAAAAAAUUUUCUAAACUGUG
This 21-nucleotide non-coding RNA is filed under the name Caenorhabditis elegans. Lineage: Eukaryota; Metazoa; Nematoda; Chromadorea; Rhabditida; Rhabditidae. The record is from RNAcentral.